CCCUUAGAUGUCCUGGGCCGCACGCGCGCUACACUGAUGCAUGCAACGAGUUUAUAACCUUGGCCUGAAAGGUCUGGGUAAUCUUUUGAACGUGCAUCGUGAUAGGGAUAGAUUAUUGCAAUUGUUAAUCUUGAACGAGGAAUUCCUGGUAAACGCGAGUCAUCAGCUCGCAUUGAUUACGUCCCUGCCCUUUGUACACACCGCCCGUCGCACCUACCGAUUGAAUGGUUCGGUGAAGAUCUCGGACUUCGAUAUUUAUUCUUUAUUGAGUUUAUAUUGUGGGAAGUUAUCUAAACCUCAUCAUUUAGAGGAAGGUGAAGUCGUAACA
RNAcentral lists this ribosomal RNA (328 nucleotides) under uncultured eukaryote. Its description in RNAcentral is "partial 18S ribosomal RNA". It matches the Rfam family "Eukaryotic small subunit ribosomal RNA", at positions 1470 to 1796 of the family's 1831-position model. The record is from RNAcentral.